GAUGAACGCUGGCGGCGUGCUUAACACAUGCAAGUCGAACGAAGAUGCCGGAGUGCUUGCACUUUGGCAGACUGAGUGGCGGACGGGUGAGUAACGCGUGGGUAACCUGCCUUAUACAGGGGGAUAACAGUUGGAAACGACUGCUAAUACCGCAUAAGCGCACGGUAUCGCAUGAUACAGUGUGAAAAACUCCGGUGGUAUAAGAUGGACCCGCGUCUGAUUAGCUAGUUGGUGAGGUAACGGCCCACCAAGGCGACGAUCAGUAGCCGGCCUGAGAGGGUGAACGGCCACAUUGGGACUGAGACACGGCCCAAACUCCUACGGGGAGGCAGCAGUGGGGAAUAUUGCACAAUGGGGAAACCCUGAUGCAGCGACGCCGCGUGAGUGAUGAAGUAUUUCGGUAUGUAAAGCUCUAUCAGCAGGAAGAAAAAAUGACGGUACCUGACUAAGAAGCCCGGCUAACUACGUG
This 469-nucleotide ribosomal RNA is filed under the name uncultured bacterium. RNAcentral's name for it is "bacterial SSU rRNA". It matches the Rfam family "Bacterial small subunit ribosomal RNA", at positions 28 to 507 of the family's 1533-position model. The record is from RNAcentral.